Molecule: long non-coding RNA, 583 nt
Organism: Cyprinus carpio carpio
Lineage: Eukaryota; Metazoa; Chordata; Actinopteri; Cypriniformes; Cyprinidae
Source: Ensembl
UUUUAGCAGUAGUAUGCAUGCUCAUUCAUGCUUCAUUACUAAGUAUGCAUGCUAGGUAUGCAUGCUGAUGCAUACUUCAUAUUAUGUAUACUAAACAUGCAUGCUGUUGCAUACUUAAUACUUCAUAAUUUUAGCAUUAGUAUGCAUUCUCAUUCACGCUAUUACUAAGUAUGCAUGCUGAAGCAUUCUAAGUGUGUACUUCAUGGCAUUGAACAGUCACAUACUCCCGCUUCCAGAGCAGAAUGUGGACUAGGAGUCUGAUUGCAUUUUCUGCCCUUCCGGGUGAAUUACUAUCCUGAAUGUGUGUGUGCUGAAGUAUUUGGUGAUGCUUUUCCUGGAGCUGCAUCAGCGAUUGUGCUCAAAAAUAUCUUCUCAGGAGAGAGAGAUGAAGAGUGAACUAAAGGACCCUGCCUGCGGAAGAGAAAUGGCUAUAUACUGUUGCUUGCAUCCUCUGACCCGUCAGCAGAGGUGGAUUAUGGGACUUGUUUUCUGUCAGACACUGCACUGCACUCUCACUGAAAGGCUCCUCCAGAAACUCACUCUCAGGUCUCCAGAGAAAAGUCAAAGAGAGAAAACACUGAAG